Molecule: non-coding RNA, 46 nt
Organism: Picea glauca (white spruce)
Lineage: Eukaryota; Viridiplantae; Streptophyta; Pinopsida; Pinales; Pinaceae
Source: Rfam
AAAAAGGUUUUAUUUAAAACCACCCUUGGUCGCUCACGCAAUCAUG